This 1060-nucleotide long non-coding RNA is filed under the name Populus trichocarpa (black cottonwood). Its description in RNAcentral is "long non-coding RNA (PTRI_LNC001323)". The record is from RNAcentral. Lineage: Eukaryota; Viridiplantae; Streptophyta; Magnoliopsida; Malpighiales; Salicaceae.
GACUUGCCAGUGGUCUGCUGCUCCUGAAGAUGAAGACGAAGUUGAGGGCGGUCGGUGCUAUUCCUCUUUUCUGUUCCUUCUCUAUUCUUUUGCUUCUGUCCGCACCGUCUUUUCUACUUUUUCUUUGUGUUCCUCUGUUUUCUCAGUUCUUGGGAUGAAGGAAUUAAGAAGAUGACGAUGCCGGUUCUCUCGGGUGGUUCUUCUUUUUCUGGUCACUGUUCGUCCUCCAUUUUUCUGUGGUUCUUGGCCUGUUCCUCGAUUUUUUCAGUUCUUCCUCUCUCUCUGUUUUCCCCGUUUUUUAGUUUUUCCACCUUGGGUCUGUGAUUCCUUUUCAGUCCAAUUCCCCUGGUUUUUUCGUGUCCUCCGAUUGCUUUCGUUUUCCAGCAGCUUUUGAAAUGAUGAAGGAACUAAGAAGAUGAUGAAGACGCUGGCUGGAUUUAUUUUGACUGAUUUCUGGGUCUUUCCUUUGUCUGCAGGGACGAAGACAAUUUCAAGGAUAAUUCUCGUCUCUGUGUGUGCUGCUCUCUUGUUCUCUCCUUCUCUCUGUGUAUUAUUUUUUUGUUGCUCUGGAUUUAUGCUCUGCUUUUUUCUCUGUUAUUUGCUCUCUUUUAUUUGCUCCUUACGCCCUGUUUCUCCCCAAGGUUCUGCCCUUUUUUUUUCUCCCUUUCGCGAGGUCGCCUUUGCCCAGCUUUUAUAAAGCCAGCGGCGGCCUCGGUGGUGGUAACGGCCGGCCUCCUAAAUGCUCUGUAACCGACGUCUUCAAUGAAGAAACGUACGCGUUGGCUGCCAACGGACGAAACGUCUCUGCCUUAUGGCAGAGCCGUUGCAGAGGAAGAAGACGGUGAACAGUCGCUGCAAAACGACUCCGUUUUCUAGUUCUAAAGGCUGCUUUCAAUUUGGUCCUUGUAAUUCUUAUAAUUUUGCAAUCAAGCCCCUGGUUAAAAUGUAAUUGGAUCCUUGCAUUUCCGGGCCAUUUUCAAGCUGGUCCUUGGAUUUUAAUUUUUGCAUUUUGGACCUCAAUUAAACCCCAAACUUUGAUAUUUCUUCAAUUAAAUCCCUG